RNAcentral lists this transfer RNA (76 nucleotides) under Bradyrhizobium sp. CCBAU 45389. Its description in RNAcentral is "tRNA-Met". It matches the Rfam family "tRNA". Rfam says of the family: Transfer RNA (tRNA) molecules are approximately 80 nucleotides in length. Their secondary structure includes four short double-helical elements and three loops (D, anti-codon, and T loops). The record is from RNAcentral. RNAcentral also lists the same sequence under 13 other names. Lineage: Bacteria; Pseudomonadati; Pseudomonadota; Alphaproteobacteria; Hyphomicrobiales; Nitrobacteraceae.
GGGCCUGUAGCUCAAUGGUUAGAGCCGGCCGCUCAUAACGGUCUGGUUCCUGGUUCGAAUCCAGGCGGGCCCACCA